AAAUUGAAGAGUUUGAUCAUGGCUCAGAUUGAACGCUGGCGGCAGGCCUAACACAUGCAAGUCGAGCGGAAACGAGUUAUCAGAACCUUCGGGGGACGAUAACGGCGUCGAGCGGCGGACGGGUGAGUAAUGCCUAGGAAAUUGCCCUGAUGUG
RNAcentral lists this ribosomal RNA (154 nucleotides) under Vibrio parahaemolyticus. RNAcentral describes it as "partial 16S ribosomal RNA". It matches the Rfam family "Bacterial small subunit ribosomal RNA", at positions 1 to 138 of the family's 1533-position model. The record is from RNAcentral. Lineage: Bacteria; Pseudomonadati; Pseudomonadota; Gammaproteobacteria; Vibrionales; Vibrionaceae.